This 433-nucleotide ribosomal RNA is filed under the name uncultured bacterium. Its description in RNAcentral is "partial 16S ribosomal RNA". It matches the Rfam family "Bacterial small subunit ribosomal RNA", at positions 29 to 507 of the family's 1533-position model. The record is from RNAcentral.
AACGAACGCUGGCGGCAGGCUUAACACAUGCAAGUCGAGCGAGACCUUCGGGUCUAGCUGCGGACGGGUGAGUAACGCGUGGGAACGUGCCCUUCUCUACGGAAUAGCCCCGGGAAACUGGGAGUAAUACCGUAUACGCCCUUUGGGGGAAAGAUUUAUCGGAGAAGGAUCGGCCCGCGUUGGAUUAGGUAGUUGGUGGGGUAAUGGCCCACCAAGCCGACGAUCCAUAGCUGGUUUGAGAGGAUGAUCAGCCACACUGGGACUGAGACACGGCCCAGACUCCUACGGGAGGCAGCAGUGGGGAAUCUUAGACAAUGGGGGCAACCCUGAUCUAGCCAUGCCGCGUGAGUGAUGAAGGCCUUAGGGUUGUAAAGCUCUUUCAGCUGGGAAGAUAAUGACGGUACCAGCAGAAGAAGCCCCGGCUAACUCCGUG